UUUUUCUUUUUCUUUUUUUUUUUGAGCAGCCAUUACAUUAAUAAUUAGACAACAUUUUGGGGUUUUUUUCCUAACCAAGAAUAAUAAGUCUGGAUUCACGUGCAACCAUAUGUGAAAAAUACAUAUAACUCAUCUUUUGUCACAGAUAACUGUAUCAUUGCCAUCCAUACCAUCUCAUGCUUGGAUGUGAUCAAAGGACUGAUGAAAAGUGGCAGGCUGAAAUGGAACACAGAUUACAUCUGGCAAACAGUGGAGGGUAAGGGCAGGGCAAUGGUUAUUCUUGCUUUUGUCACCUCUUAGCUGGGCUGAGGCUCUGUGACAUAUCUGAGUGUGAAGUCUACAGCCCUAGAAAAUUCCAGGUAACAUGGAGUAAAAUAGCUAUGUUUGUCUGCAAGUCAGGAUGCUGCAUUUGUAGCAAACCUCUCUCUGAGCUGCAUACAAGCUUUUCACAGCAUUUAAAAGAAAACUAAACACACUGAUAUCAUAAAAAUACUUGCGAAGUUGUGCCCAAGAUUUAUAAACUUCACUCUGUACAUCUGAGUGGAAGAGAGUCCUCCAGCUCUGUGCAUUUGGUGCAAAGGAUCUCUGUGAGCAGGGUGGAUCCUGCCCAUUCAUGCCCCACUGGGAGCAUCGCACUGAAAGUGAGCUCCUCACCUACUACUGCCAGAGACCCACCUCUGACCACUCCAGUCUCACAGCAGCAUGUGGAUUUAAAGAAAAACAAAUGAAAAUGUCUUCAGAAAACAAAAUGUUCUGCCUCUGCUUUUCCCCCUGGGGGAAGGAUUAUAGUACAAACAAGACAUGAAAGUUGUUUGUCAUAGUAUUUAAGUGCUCAGGUGCUCUCAAUACAGCAUCAGGAAAAACCCAUAUGAAUUAAAAUAUAAUAUUUCCUUCUCUGCUUCUUGCCUGCUUAUGUCAUGUCAUGUCAUGCCUAUCUUCUCUUUUCUCCCUUGCCUCAUCUUCAUCUCCCAUGGCAAUAUGAAAUACUGCUCACUAGCAAGCACAAGCACUGUCAGACACCUCACCCUCCUUCUUCAGCCCUCUGCUGUGUCGACAGAGGGGACCUUUGCAGGCAAGUCAGGAGCAGUGCAAUGGUGCUACCCUGCCAAAGCAUUGCUUAAAGUGCCUCGUUUGGAUGGCUCAAAAAGUGGAAGACUUGUUUUGGGUUACAUAUGAAAUAUUCAGCUAUCACUCUCAUUGCACAAAACACCCACGGGUCUGUAUUUCUAAGCAUAAUGCUGCACAUGGCUGCAAGGAGGAUUUUUCAGGGGCAAGAGGUUUUUUCCCACCUAACUAUUGCUUUACACCUCAUGCCACUCAAAGUAAAUGGUUGCAGUCAAUUCAGGAAUGCUACUGCUGCCAUCUCCUGAGAAAAGCUAGGCUGAGCAUGUUUAAUGGAGUUACAGAAGCUGCUGCCAGAAUGUCUGCCUAACCCUGUCCUAAUGAAAUGGGGUCUUUUGGCUGGACUAGACUAGUCUGUAAAUGAGUUAUAUCUAAGAUUACAGUUAUCAAACUAGAAAUAUGGGAUCCAAACCACACGUCUAGCAGUUGCCUGGAAAUCUCAUUUACAGAUGUAACAUUAGAUCAUAGUAUGGGAUGUGAUUAAUCUCUCCUUCCCAAAGGCACACAAGAAAUCCCUGCUCUACUGGGCCAUGGAGACCUCCAAGUCCACCUAACUGGGAGACCUGAAAUUUUGAAUUCAGAGACAUAAAUGCUGGUGUGACUCUAAGCCGAAAUUCUUACCUUCUCUCAUAUAACCCUGAGCAUAGAAAUUUUGAGGAAAACUGUCACAAACUACCAUAAAUUUUAAAACCAUCAAGGGAUAAUAUGAAGUCUUCUCAGGUAAUCCUGAGUCACCACUGAAAAUAGAAUCAGCCUCCUUCUCCAACUAACAUCAACAGCCCUGUGAAAUUUCCAUUUAUAAAAUCCCCAGAUCCAAUUAUUAAUUUUCCCCUUUUCCUUCUCCAUAUGUGCAUAUGUGAUUGCAUAUAUUCUCACAGACAACAAAAUGUUUCAUACGAAACAGUAGUUUAGUUGCUCAUAGGAACAACCAUGUGGGUGUAAAAAGCUUUCCCAGAAUCUUCUUUUUCGUAUAUGGAAAGCAGUAUCUUACACUAUAAAAUCCAAAAAAUGUUCUAAAACUGCAUAUUAGAUACAAUACCCUGUGAAAUAUGGGGUGAUAGACAGUAGGAGUGCCAAUCAUUUCCAGAGCUUUCUUCAUGAGCAACACCUUGACACACAGUCCUUGCAUGAAGCUGUGCUACCUUGUCAUCUGUGCCCUGCUGCUGUUACUGAGAUUUCUUUCCCUUUCACUCCUUAACAGUAAUGUUCAUCCUGAUCUUUGUAAAGCACUUCAACAUGAUGCUUCAAAAUCACUAAGAAAGUAUUAAAUAAUAUUAUCUGAUUAUAACUCCUGUAUCAACCAUGGAAAAAUAUUUUCUGUGUUUGCCCAGAGCUAAUGUCUACAUAACAAAUAUCCCUAUAGUAAUAUGACUAUUUCUAAUUUUCUUUCAAAUUACCAAUAAGACUUUGCUUGACUUUCAAGAUGAGAUGUUUCUGCUUUUAAUUUCUGAAAUUGAAAAAUUCUACCAUUUUUUACAAUAAAAAUUCACCUUUCUUGAUCACAGACAUGGUAGUGCUGAUAUUCUUCUUUUCCUUUAGCCAGCCAUAAAGAAAGAGAAUAAAAAUCCUUUGAAAAUACUCAGUUUGAGAGCAGAAGAAUAACUUUAGAGCUUCUGCUCCCACUGUCCUCUAUCCUAGAUAACUGUGUGUCUCCCAUCUUGCAUCCCACAGUCUUUCUCUAGGCUACAAAAUAUGAGCCAUUUAGUUUUGGCAGAGUACUAAAAGCAGUAAAAGGUUGCUUUUUAACCUAAUAUUCAUCAGUCAGCAGAGAUGGGGGUAUAGAGAAAUGGACAGGAGUACUGAGGGGUCAUGACCUUGCAAGUCAUUCAGCUUUUUCACUGCAAACUUAUUACCAUGGGUAAGGUACAGGGCUUCCCAGAGGCUGCUGACCUCUCCUGCUGCUGCAGUGGGUCUUGCCAUGGCACUGGCAGAGGAGUCAGCACUCAGGCAGAGUCCAGGAGGACUGUGUUGCUAGCUGGAUUGUGGCUGCCAUACUCUGCUCAGCUGUGACAGCAUAUGCUCAGCAUUCAGAGCCAGAAAAGGACAUGAUGCUGUCCUUGCACACUCUGAGCAGCUAGCAGCCUUCUGGGGAGUGAGGAGAUGGACAAGUGUCAGGCAGAGAAGGGGAGCCAAACUGAGUGUCAACAGAACCAGCAGAGAAAAGAGGAACGAGAAGGACAAAAGAGGAAGGGAUGUGCUAAAUGGCAUAAGGGCAGAGAGGGGAAGGAACAAAAUGCUGAGGGAGGGAAAGAACCCGUGACAGUGACAGGAAAUGUUUUCUUAUCUAUGAAAAGAUCCAAGUAGAAAAAAAAAAAAAAAAAAAAAAAGGCUAAAACCUCAAUGCUUGGAGUUCUCUGACAAAAUACCUUCCUUUCUUUGGAAAUGGCAGUCCUCAGAGCAAGUUGCAAAUUCUGCUUCAACAAAGCUACCAUUGCCACUGCAGUCGAAACAGACUGUUAAGGAUCCUGUGUUAAUAAAAAGCUGGAUCCAUAUAGAAAUUACCUUUGCAGUAUCAUCUUCUAUGUGUAUGUGUUAGAAAUAAUUUCAGUAAAAGCUUAUCUAAAAAAUACCACUGGGAAGAAAUUCUCUAUUCUUUCAUUCUAGAAGGAAUAGGUGGUUUUGCUCAUAUUGUCUGGAACAAAUUAGAGCAAUGUCUGCUUUGUCCCCUCUUCCUACCACACAUCUUAGCAAUUUUUAUCCCAUCAUCAACUUUAGGACAUGUUCCUCCAUGGGAGCUGAGGGUAGUGUGGGUAUUCAUAGUGAGGGAUGCCAGGAUAACCUAUCCACUUGGGCUGUUGGAGCUUCCAGGGGAGUGAGUACCUGAAUUCCUGCAACAGGCAUCUUCAUUUUUGUAGCAAGAAGCUUCAUGCUCUGGAUCCAGAAAAAAAACUUUACCACA
This 4021-nucleotide long non-coding RNA is filed under the name Taeniopygia guttata (zebra finch). RNAcentral's name for it is "lncRNA (ENSTGUG00000019195.1)". Lineage: Eukaryota; Metazoa; Chordata; Aves; Passeriformes; Estrildidae. The record is from RNAcentral.